GAUGAAGAACGUAGCGAAAUGCGAUAACUAAUGUGAAUUGCAGAAUUCAGUGAAUCAUCGAGUCUUUGAACGCACAUUGCGCCCCCUGGUAUUCCGGGGGGCAUGCCUGUCCGAGCGUCAUUGCUGCCCUCAAGCACGGCUUGUGUGUUGGGCUCCGUCCCCCCGGGGACGGGCCCGAAAGGCAGCGGCGGCACCGAGUCCGGUCCUCGAGCGUAUGGGGCUUUGUCACCCGCUCUGUAGGCCCGGCCGGCGCCGGCCGACAACCCAUCAUCCUUUUCAGGUUGACCUCGGAUCAGGUAGGGAUACCCGCUGAACUUAAGCAUAUCAAUAAGCGGAGGA
Molecule: unclassified non-coding RNA, 339 nt
Filed under: soil metagenome
Description: partial contains 5.8S ribosomal RNA, internal transcribed spacer 2, and large subunit ribosomal RNA
Rfam family: 5.8S ribosomal RNA (bases 1-120)
Source: RNAcentral